Molecule: ribosomal RNA, 484 nt
Filed under: uncultured bacterium
Lineage: Bacteria
Description: partial 16S ribosomal RNA
Rfam family: Bacterial small subunit ribosomal RNA
Source: RNAcentral
AUUGAACGCUGGCGGCAGGCCUAACACAUGCAAGUCGAGCGGAUGAAGGGAGCUUGCUCCUGGAUUCAGCGGCGGACGGGUGAGUAAUGCCUAGGAAUCUGCCUGGUAGUGGGGGAUAACGUCCGGAAACGGGCGCUAAUACCGCAUACGUCCUGAGGGAGAAAGUGGGGGAUCUUCGGACCUCACGCUAUCAGAUGAGCCUAGGUCGGAUUAGCUAGUUGGUGGGGUAAAGGCCUACCAAGGCGACGAUCCGUAACUGGUCUGAGAGGGUGAUCAGUCACACUGGAACUGAGACACGGUCCAGACUCCUACGGGAGGCAGCAGUGGGGAAUAUUGGACAAUGGGCGAAAGCCUGAUCCAGCCAUGCCGCGUGUGUGAAGAAGGUCUUCGGAUUGUAAAGCACCUUAAGUUGGGAGGAAGGGCAGUAAGUUAAUACCUUGCUGUUUUGACGUUACCAACAGAAUAAGCACCGGCUAACUUCGUG